RNAcentral lists this long non-coding RNA (474 nucleotides) under Androctonus crassicauda. Lineage: Eukaryota; Metazoa; Arthropoda; Arachnida; Scorpiones; Buthidae. The record is from RNAcentral.
CAAUAAUUUAAAUUUAAAAUAUUUUAAAAUUAAAAUUUAAAAUUUUUAAAAAUAUAACAGCACUUUCCUGCAGGCUGGUUUAGAAAAUAACAUGAAUGUCAUUGCAACUUACCUUGAUUUGAGGUAUAAAUCAAAGUUUUUUUGCACUUUCCUUGAUCACAUCCAUGAAACAAUUAUUAAUGUUACGAAACACAUCAAUGCAAUUGAUAUGAAGUCCCAAAAAAGAAAGAAAACAAUCAUAAAGAAAUUUAUGAUGCUUAGUAUCCAUGACAUCCUGAAGUGGGAUGAGUCAACAGAUAAUGAUGAGCAAAGUUCAGAACAGAAAUAUAUUAAGUUAAUGAAUAAAAGAAGAAGAGCAGUAUGAUGCAAAACAAAAUUUACAAUCUUGGUGGAACACAUAACUGGGACACAAAAUAUCAAUUUUUGGCAUCAAUAACUAGAAAAUAUCUAUCAACUCCUUCAAUUUCACUUAUG